RNAcentral lists this ribosomal RNA (465 nucleotides) under uncultured bacterium. Its description in RNAcentral is "partial 16S ribosomal RNA". It matches the Rfam family "Bacterial small subunit ribosomal RNA", at positions 28 to 507 of the family's 1533-position model. The record is from RNAcentral.
GACGAACGCUGGCGGCGUGCUUAACACAUGCAAGUCGAACGGAAAGGCCCUGCUUGCAGGGUACUCGAGUGGCGAACGGGUGAGUAACACGUGGGUGAUCUGCCCUGCACUUCGGGAUAAGCCUGGGAAACUGGGUCGAAUACCGGAGAGGAGCCAUCUUUAGGGUGGUGGUUGGAAAGUUUUUUCGGUGUGGGAUGGGCUUGCGGCCUAUCAGCUUGUUGGUGGGGUAAUGGCCUACCAAGGCGGCGACGGGUAGCCGGCCUGGGGGGGUGGACGGCCACAUUGGGGCUGAGAUACGGCCCAGGCUCCCACGGGAGGCAGCAGGGGGGGAUAUUGCACAAUGGGCGCAAGCCUGAUGCAGCGACGCCGCGUGGGGGAUGACGGCCUUCGGGUUGUAAACUCCUUUCGCUAGGGACGAAGCUUUUUGUGACGGUACCUAGUAAAGAAGCACCGGCUAACUACGUG